UUUUUUUUUUUUUUUUUUUUUUACAUUGCGGCCUAUUGCGCCGGUAGGCUUCUUCCCGGUGGAUCCUGAUGGUCGGUCCAAGGCUUCUUUCCGGUGGGUCCUGAUGGUCGGCCCAGCCCGUUCUGGCGCAGGCGAGUGUUUAUAGUGGCGCCAUCUUGCAUUGGCUCAUGCUGCCCUCCCAGAGCUCAUCUUUGAUCCUAGAAUCUAGAGUCCGGGUUGACAGGUGGUCUUCUGGACAGCAUGUGGGUAGUUUUAAGCCACUCGGCGGCGG
Molecule: long non-coding RNA, 271 nt
Organism: Eriocheir sinensis (Chinese mitten crab)
Lineage: Eukaryota; Metazoa; Arthropoda; Malacostraca; Decapoda; Varunidae
Exons: 2
Source: RefSeq, a predicted model, not a curated record